UAUAAGAUCGAAGAGAAUCUAAAAUACUAAAAAUAUAUCGCCACCGCCGAAGACCACUUCCUCCGCCGUUCGUUGUCGUCGGAACCCCAGUUCUACCAUCUCCUCUCCAUCAUCGAUUCACCUAUUCAACGCAUUUUCGCGUUCUGCUUUAGAAGAUGCGGUUCAUGAUUUGGAGGAGAGUCUCGCUAAGGGGUUUGAUGGUGAGAGAAAGCUUAAGGUCUGUGCUUGAAACCUGAUUUUGAAGGUUUAGUGAAGAAAAGUCUAAUGUCAAUCUGUUUGAAACAGACAAGUAUGUUAAAACUUCUUUGGCACAUAACAUGUCUCUGAUUGAUUGCCUCGUAAGAAACGGAAAAGUCAGGUUGAUGCUCAUUUGUAUGCUCUUAAGAGGACAGUCUUUAUGGGUAAUCUCCCUUAAUGUGAAGAAAAGCGUGCGAACUUACAAAAACAGCUCCAUGGUUAUCAUAAGAUCGUAAUUUCCGAUGCAUUAAUGGUUCCGGUUUCAUUUAUGCCUUCCUGAACACUAUUGCAUACUUCCUGAAAUUAAAUAGACCAAAUGUACAGUGAUAACAGAAGUAGAACACGAUUUUUUUAAGAAAGAGAGAGGAUAUGAGAAUUUUGAUUAUCAAAGGUAGUUUUCACCCGAAAACUUGUUAUUUCAUUCUAUUUGUAAAUUAUGAGAUUUGUAGUCUAAUUAUCAUAUAUGAAUGAUUCCUUGAAAUUUAGGAAGAACUCUUUAAAGUAUA
Camelina sativa (false flax) is the source of this 743-nucleotide non-coding RNA. NCBI's taxonomy places the organism in Eukaryota, Viridiplantae, Streptophyta, Magnoliopsida, Brassicales, Brassicaceae. The record is from RefSeq and is a predicted model, not a curated record.